This 460-nucleotide ribosomal RNA is filed under the name uncultured bacterium. RNAcentral's name for it is "partial 16S ribosomal RNA". It matches the Rfam family "Bacterial small subunit ribosomal RNA", at positions 338 to 795 of the family's 1533-position model. The record is from RNAcentral.
CCUACGGGAGGCAGCAGUGAGGAAUAUUGGUCAAUGGACGAGAGUCUGAACCAUCCAAGUAGCGUGAAGGAUGACUGCCCUAUGGGUUGUAAACUUCUUUUAUAUGGGAAUAAAAUGUUCCACGUGUGGGAUUUUGUAUGUAACAUAUGAAUAAGGAUCGGCUAACUCCGUGCCAGCAGCCGCGGUAAUACGGAGGAUCCGAGCGUUAUCCGGAUUUAUUGGGUUUAAAGGGAGCGUAGGUGGAUUGUUAAGUCAGUUGUGAAAGUUUGCGGCUCAACCGUAAAAUUGCAGUUGAAACUGGCAGUCUUGAGUACAGUAGAGGUGGGCGGAAUUCGUGGUGUAGCGGUGAAAUGCUUAGAUAUCACGAAGAACUCCGAUUGCGAAGGCAGCUCACUGGACUGCAACUGACACUGAGGCUCGAAAGUGUGGGUAUCGAACAGGAUUAGAUACCCUUGUAGUC